AGAGUUUGAUCCUGGCUCAGGAUGAACGCUAGCGGCAGGCCUAACACAUGCAAGUCGAGGGGUAGAGGGUGCUUGCACCCUUGAGACCGGCGCACGGGUGCGGAACGCGUAUGGAACCUGCCCCUGUCAGGGGAAUAGCCCAGGGAAACUUGGAUUAAUGCCCCAUGGUAUCGGAGUAUCGCAUGAUAUUCCGAUUAAAGAUUUAUCGGACAGGGAUGGCCAUGCGUACCAUUAGCUUGUUGGUAAGGUAACGGCUUACCAAGGCAACGAUGGUUAGGGGCCCUGAGAGGGGGAUCCCCCACACUGGUACUGAGACACGGACCAGACUCCUACGGGAGGCAGCAGUGAGGAAUAUUGGACAAUGGUCGGAAGACUGAUCCAGCCAUGCCGCGUGCAGGAUGACGGCCCUAUGGGUUGUAAACUGCUUUUAUACGGGAAGAAACGCACCUACGUGUAGGUGUCUGACGGUACCGUAAGAAUAAGGACCGGCUAACUCCGUGCCAGCAGCCGCGGUAAUACGGAGGGUCCGAGCGUUAUCCGGAAUCAUUGGGUUUAAAGGGUCCGUAGGCGGGCCUGUAAGUCAGGGGUGAAAGUUUGUGGCUCAACCAUAAAAUUGCCUUUGAUACUGCAGGUCUUGAGUCAUGGUGGGGUUGCCGGAACAUGUGGUGUAGCGGUGAAAUGCAUAGAUAUCACAUAGAACACCGAUCGCGAAGGCAGGUGACCAACCAUGUACUGACGCUGAUGGACGAAAGCGUGGGUAGCGAACGGGAUUAGAUACCCCGGUAGUCCACGCCGUAAACGAUGGAUACUAGCUGUGGGGACCUCGGUCUCCGUGGCCAAGCGAAAGUGAUAAGUAUCC
This 859-nucleotide ribosomal RNA is filed under the name marine metagenome. Its description in RNAcentral is "bacterial SSU rRNA". It matches the Rfam family "Bacterial small subunit ribosomal RNA", at positions 8 to 869 of the family's 1533-position model. The record is from RNAcentral.